RNAcentral lists this transfer RNA (74 nucleotides) under Operophtera brumata (winter moth). It matches the Rfam family "tRNA". From Rfam's summary of the family: Transfer RNA (tRNA) molecules are approximately 80 nucleotides in length. The record is from Rfam by way of RNAcentral. Lineage: Eukaryota; Metazoa; Arthropoda; Insecta; Lepidoptera; Geometridae.
UGUUAUAUGGCCGAACUGGUAAAGGCAUUGCCGAUCACAGGCAAGGUUUGCAGGUUCGAGUCCCGCUGGAACGG